UACAGAGGUCCCAAGCGUUGUUCGGAUUCAUUGGGCGUAAAGGGUGCGUAGGCGGCGCGGUAAGUCGGGUGUGAAAUCUCGGGGCUUAACUCCGAAACUGCAUUCGAUACUGCCGUGCUUGAGGACUGGAGAGGAGACUGGAAUUUACGGUGUAGCGGUGAAAUGCGUAGAUAUCGUAAGGAAGACCAGUGGCGAAGGCGGGUCUCUGGACAGAGUCUGACGCUGAGGCGCGAAAGCUAGGGGAGCAAACAGG
This 253-nucleotide ribosomal RNA is filed under the name uncultured bacterium. Its description in RNAcentral is "partial 16S ribosomal RNA". It matches the Rfam family "Bacterial small subunit ribosomal RNA", at positions 524 to 776 of the family's 1533-position model. The record is from RNAcentral.